This 606-nucleotide ribosomal RNA is filed under the name uncultured bacterium. RNAcentral's name for it is "bacterial SSU rRNA". It matches the Rfam family "Bacterial small subunit ribosomal RNA", at positions 59 to 674 of the family's 1533-position model. The record is from RNAcentral.
AAGCGUAUUAGCGGAAGUUUUCGGAUGGAAGCAGAUAUGACUUAGCGGCGGACGGGUGAGUAACGCGUGGAUAACCUGCCUCAUACAGGGGGAUAACAGUUAGAAAUGACUGCUAAUACCGCAUAAGCGCACAGGACCGCAUGGUCCGGUGUGAAAAACUCCGGUGGUAUGGGAUGGAUCCGCGUCUGAUUAGCUGGUUGGUGAGGUAACGGCCCACCAAGGCGACGAUCAGUAGCCGACCUGAGAGGGUGGCCGGCCACAUUGGGACUGAGACACGAUCCAAAUUUAUACGGGAGGCAGCAGUGGGGAAUAUUGCACAAUGGGGGAAACCCUGAUGCAGCAACGCCGCGUGAGUGAAGAAGUAUUUCGGUAUGUAAAGCUCUAUCAGCAGGGAAGAAGAAAGACGGUACCUGACUAAGAAGCCCCGGCUAACUACGUGCCAGCAGCCGCGGUAAUACGUAGGGGGCAAGCGUUAUCCGGAUUUACUGGGUGUAAAGGGAGCGUAGACGGCUGUGCAAGUCUGAAGUGUAAGCCCGUGGCUCAACCGCGGAACUGCUUUGGAAACUGUAUAGCUUGAGUACUGGAGAGGCAGGCGGAAUUCCUAGU